Brachypodium distachyon (stiff brome) is the source of this 136-nucleotide non-coding RNA. Lineage: Eukaryota; Viridiplantae; Streptophyta; Magnoliopsida; Poales; Poaceae. The record is from Rfam.
UUAGUACUUCCUCCGUGCAACAAAGGAUGUCUCAAUUUUGAUUAAAUUUGAAUGCAUCUAUACACUAAGUCAUGUCUAGAUACAUUUAAAUUUUGACGAAGUUGAGACAUCUUUUGUUGGACGGAAGGAGUUUAUA